Molecule: ribosomal RNA, 798 nt
Filed under: Halomonas sp. MMRF1011
Lineage: Bacteria; Pseudomonadati; Pseudomonadota; Gammaproteobacteria; Oceanospirillales; Halomonadaceae
Description: bacterial SSU rRNA
Rfam family: Bacterial small subunit ribosomal RNA
Source: RNAcentral
GUUGGUGAGGUAAAGGCUCACCAAGGCAACGAUCCGUAGCUGGUCUGAGAGGAUGAUCAGCCACAUCGGGACUGAGACACGGCCCGAACUCCUACGGGAGGCAGCAGUGGGGAAUAUUGGACAAUGGGGGCAACCCUGAUCCAGCCAUGCCGCGUGUGUGAAGAAGGCCCUCGGGUUGUAAAGCACUUUCAGCGAGGAAGAACGCCUAGCGGUUAAUACCCGCUAGGAAAGACAUCACUCGCAGAAGAAGCACCGGCUAACUCCGUGCCAGCAGCCGCGGUAAUACGGAGGGUGCAAGCGUUAAUCGGAAUUACUGGGCGUAAAGCGCGCGUAGGUGGCUUGAUAAGCCGGUUGUGAAAGCCCCGGGCUCAACCUGGGAACGGCAUCCGGAACUGUCAAGCUAGAGUGCAGGAGAGGAAGGUAGAAUUCCCGGUGUAGCGGUGAAAUGCGUAGAGAUCGGGAGGAAUACCAGUGGCGAAGGCGGCCUUCUGGACUGACACUGACACUGAGGUGCGAAAGCGUGGGUAGCAAACAGGAUUAGAUACCCUGGUAGUCCACGCCGUAAACGAUGUCGACCAGCCGUUGGGUGCCUAGCGCACUUUGUGGCGAAGUUAACGCGAUAAGUCGACCGCCUGGGGAGUACGGCCGCAAGGUUAAAACUCAAAUGAAUUGACGGGGGCCCGCACAAGCGGUGGAGCAUGUGGUUUAAUUCGAUGCAACGCGAAGAACCUUACCUACUCUUGACAUCCUCGAAUUCGGUAGAGAUACCUUAGUGCCUUCGGGAACGCAGAGACAGGU